RNAcentral lists this small RNA (100 nucleotides) under Pan troglodytes (chimpanzee). RNAcentral describes it as "processed transcript". Lineage: Eukaryota; Metazoa; Chordata; Mammalia; Primates; Hominidae. RNAcentral also lists the same sequence under 1 other name. The record is from RNAcentral.
AGAAUGGAGGAACUGAAGGUCAAGGGAAAACUGGAUUCAGGAAAUACACCCCCUACUGAUCCGGGACCGGAGGAGCGAGUCCAGUCGCAACAAACUGCUG